This 495-nucleotide ribosomal RNA is filed under the name uncultured bacterium. Its description in RNAcentral is "partial 16S ribosomal RNA". It matches the Rfam family "Bacterial small subunit ribosomal RNA", at positions 28 to 507 of the family's 1533-position model. The record is from RNAcentral.
GACGAACGCUGGCGGCGUGCCUAAUACAUGCAAGUAGAACGCUGAAGGAGGAGCUUGCUCUUCUGGAUGAGUUGCGAACGGGUGAGUAACGCGUAGGUAACCUGCCUGGUAGCGGGGGAUAACUAUUGGAAACGAUAGCUAAUACCGCAUAACAGUAGAUGUUGCAUGACAUUUACUUAAAAGGUGCAAUUGCAUCACUACCAGAUGGACCUGCGUUGUAUUAGCUAGUUGGUGGGGUAACGGCUCACCAAGGCGACGAUACAUAGCCGACCUGAGAGGGUGAUCGGCCACACUGGGACUGAGACACGGCCCAGACUCCUACGGGAGGCAGCAGUAGGGAAUCUUCGGCAAUGGACGGAAGUCUGACCGAGCAACGCCGCGUGAGUGAAGAAGGGUUUCGGAUCGUAAAGCUCUGCUGUAAGAGAAGAACGAGGGUGAGAGUGGAAAGUUCACACUGUGACGGUAUCUUACCAGAAAGGGACGGCUAACUACGUG